This 254-nucleotide ribosomal RNA is filed under the name uncultured bacterium. RNAcentral's name for it is "partial 16S ribosomal RNA". It matches the Rfam family "Bacterial small subunit ribosomal RNA", at positions 524 to 776 of the family's 1533-position model. The record is from RNAcentral.
UACGUAGGUGGCGAGCGUUGUCCGGAAUUAUUGGGCGUAAAGGGCUCGUAGGCGGUUCGUCACGUCGGGAGUGAAAACCAGGUGCUUAACACCUGGCUUGCUUUCGAUACGGGCAGACUAGAGGCAUGCAGGGGGAGAACGGAAUUCCUGGUGUAGCGGUGAAAUGCGCAGAUAUCAGGAGGAACACCGGUGGCGAAGGCGGUUCUCUGGGCAUGUCCUGACGCUGAGGAGCGAAAGUGUGGGGAGCGAACAGG